This 584-nucleotide long non-coding RNA is filed under the name Ricinus communis (castor bean). RNAcentral describes it as "long non-coding RNA (RCOM_LNC001892)". The record is from RNAcentral. Lineage: Eukaryota; Viridiplantae; Streptophyta; Magnoliopsida; Malpighiales; Euphorbiaceae.
AACAAGAGUGUAUAUGAAAAAAAAUCAAUUAAAUUCUGAUAUUUGCUUCCUUGAGAAAUCAUCAUAUUAACUUUGGAUAAUCAACUUGCCAACGCAACUUUCAAAUGAAGUACAAAAGUAAGAUGAGAGCCUAACAGGACUUAUUAAUAGGCAAAAGAAUAGGAUAAGUUGAAAACUGCAUAUGAAGGAUAAAAGUUAAAAGGAUUAUCUCACACCAAAGAACCAUCUGAUUUCGACAAGGGACUAGAAAUUCAUAGUUAAGGUGCCUCACUUUCUGUCUUCUGCAUAUCUAGGGAAAGGAGCCUGAAGCUUAUUAACUUCGGAAAUUUCAACUUGUCAACAAAAACUGUAACUUUCAAAUGAAGUAUAAAAGUAAAAUGAGAGCCUAACAGGAAAUACUGUGAGGCAAAAGAGUAGGAAAAGUUGAAAACUGCAUAUGAAGGAUAAAAGUUAUAGGAUUGUCUCACACAAAAGAACCAUUUGGUUUCCAGAAGGGACUAGAAAUUCAUAGUUAAGGUGCCUCACUUUCUGUCUUCUGCACGUCUAGGAAAAGGAAUCCGAAGCUUGCAAGUAUUCCCUUGGCA